Molecule: long non-coding RNA, 639 nt
Filed under: Mus pahari (shrew mouse)
Lineage: Eukaryota; Metazoa; Chordata; Mammalia; Rodentia; Muridae
Description: lncRNA (MGP_PahariEiJ_G0003383.1)
Source: RNAcentral
AGAUGGGGAAGGGUCUCACUUGGUGACAGGGUCAUCUCCAAACUUCAUGAGCAUCCGGAUGGCUGUUGGUGCCGUGUAGAACUUGGUCACCUUGUAUUUGUCCACAAUGCUCCACAAGCGGCCUUCAUCUGGCUCUCAGCUCAAAUGCUACCUUCUUAGAAAGUCUACCCUGAACAGUAGCAGACACCCCCAUCCCACCUGUUGUUAUUAUUCAUCACACCUGUUUUAUUCCCAUACAACACAUAUUUCUAGGGACAUCAAGGGGCCCAAGAACAAAGGAACCAGGUUUAGCUCUAGCAGUAAACUCAGUGGAGCAGACAGACAGAGAACAGAUGAACAUACAGACAAGCACAUAGGGAAGCAGUGCUCAAGAGCAGUGAAGAAGUGGAUACCUGGGGUCGGAUGCACUUGGAUUUCUCUUUCAGCUUACCCUGUUAAGAGCCCAUGGAAUGGAAAGGCUGAUGAGCAGGGUCCAAGGAUAGAGCUGGGACAAAAAAUUGAAAAUCACUACCUUUGGACUUGAGGACAUGGCUCAGUGGUAUAACCCUUGCCUGGCAUGGGAGAGGCCCUUGGCAAUCCAAGCAUCAGAAAAUGUGAGUUGUAGGGGCAGUGGGGAAUAAAGAGUCAUUUUUUAAAAGA